GUGCUCGCUUUGGCAGCACAUAUACAAAAACUGGAACAAUACAGAGAAGAUUAGCAUGGCCCCUGUACCAGGAUGGCACGCAAAUUCAUGAAGCAUUCCAUAUUUUU
RNAcentral lists this small nuclear RNA (107 nucleotides) under Sus scrofa (pig). Lineage: Eukaryota; Metazoa; Chordata; Mammalia; Artiodactyla; Suidae. The record is from RNAcentral. RNAcentral also lists the same sequence under 1 other name.